RNAcentral lists this long non-coding RNA (346 nucleotides) under Gallus gallus (chicken). The record is from RNAcentral. Lineage: Eukaryota; Metazoa; Chordata; Aves; Galliformes; Phasianidae.
AUCUGUCUCUAUAGAUUCUACCUCUUCAGCUGUCAGCCUGUUGUUGCCCUUCACUUCAUCGAGUUCCUUCUGCAGCCUGGCACUCUUCUCCUCUUCCUCCUGAAGCUUUCUCUUUACUACACGGAGCUCCUGCUGGGCUUCACAUUUAAUAUCAUUGGCUACAACCACUGCAGUCUGUAGAUCAGCUUGAAAACGCUUCCAUUCUUCUGUAUCUUCCUUCAUUUGCUUAGUCAGAGCCUUCAGCUGCCUCUCUAUAUCUUGUUUUUGCUCUUCCAGCUUCAUAGUUUUACUUUCUAAGUCACUGAUGAUCUGGUUGUUGUGAAGUUUGAUAGCACGAUGUUGCUCC